Molecule: ribosomal RNA, 741 nt
Filed under: Triticum aestivum (bread wheat)
Lineage: Eukaryota; Viridiplantae; Streptophyta; Magnoliopsida; Poales; Poaceae
Description: partial small subunit ribosomal RNA
Source: RNAcentral
GCUGUGAAAUUUGGCUAUAGAUGGAGCAUAGGGGAUGGUAAAAGAACCAGGUUUUGGGAAGAUACUUGGUUUGGCACUUCUCCCCCAGCAGUCCAAUUUUGGCAUGUCUACUCUAUUUGCAUUGAACAAAACAAAUGUGUGAAUGAAGUUUGGGAUGGGCAAUGCCUAAAGCUCUCAUUUAGAAGGAACUUUAGUGACAGUCUUAUGGAACAAUGGUUCCAGCUCAAGGAAAUUGCCAAGAGCAUUGUCUUUUCUGCCGACCUAGAUGCCUUGAUGUGGCAACUAGACAAUAAAGGGCAGUACUCUUCUAGCUCCCUCUAUCAUAUUAUCAGUUUUAGAGGGGUCCAGCCUAUGUUUAUCCCAGCAGUCUGGAAACUAAGAGUUCCUCCCAAAAUUCAUGUUUUUCUCUGGCUCCUCUCAAAAAAUAAAUUGAUGACCAGAGAUAAUCUUAGGAAAAGACAUAUCAUCAAACCUCUUGAGUGUGUUUAUCGCUUGGAACAUGAAUCAUGUUCUCACCUCUUUUUUGAGUGUAUUGUUGCUAAUCACCUCUGGGUCCCUAUUAAGAAAAUUUUCUCUAUUCAGAUUGGCUCUUCCUUUGAAUCUGUAGCCAGAUUCUGGAUUGCUAACAAGAAGUGCUCGGUUUUAAAUACUAUUAGCUCAGCUGUCCUUUGGAGCCUCUGGAAAUAUAGAAAUGCUACGAUUUUCAAUAAAACAUCUUGGAUUUCCAUUCCGCGGGUGUAG